RNAcentral lists this ribosomal RNA (129 nucleotides) under Bacillus cereus. RNAcentral's name for it is "partial 23S ribosomal RNA". It matches the Rfam family "Bacterial large subunit ribosomal RNA", at positions 1 to 126 of the family's 2925-position model. Lineage: Bacteria; Bacillati; Bacillota; Bacilli; Caryophanales; Bacillaceae. The record is from RNAcentral.
UUUGGUUAAGUUAGAAAGGGCGCACGGUGGAUGCCUUGACACUAGGAGUCGAUGAAGGACGGGACUAACGCCGAUAUGCUUCGGGGAGCUGUAAGUAAGCUUUGAUCCGAAGAUUUCCGAAUGGGGAAA